Long non-coding RNA from Talpa occidentalis (Iberian mole), 509 nucleotides. RefSeq lists it as uncharacterized. The transcript is spliced from 4 exons. Lineage: Eukaryota; Metazoa; Chordata; Mammalia; Eulipotyphla; Talpidae. The record is from RefSeq and is a predicted model, not a curated record.
UGGAGACCUGGCACAUUGGAACCAUUUGGCCAAGUCACACAAUGUGCCUGCGGCAGAGCCUCCAGGCCCAUGUUCAAAGGAUGACAUAACUCCUUACUCUCGAUCGCCUCUGUCUGUGGAGAGCAAGUCAGGCUUCUCUCUAGCCUCCCAACAGAGUCUCCAGCAAGAACAGGCUGAGGGCAGGGAGCUGCUGCCUUGGGGGCUGACUCCUGGCAUCCCAGUUCUAACCCCAAUUAUAGAAAUAAUAGUUAAUGCGACUGUGCCCCAGCCCUGGCUUUUCACAUACCAGCCCGAGUGAAAAGAUCAACACCUCUAAGAAGAGUAUGGUCAAUCCACCUUACAGCUCAGAGAAGUCCAGUUCAUCUUUGGAAUUCAGACCCAGAGGUGGAUACGAUCGUACCCAUUUUACAGACAAGAAAACUUGAACUCAGGCCACACAGCUGAAGCAGGAGAUGUUGGGGAAGUCCCGAGUACAGCCCUCCUCAUCAGGGCAGAAGGUAAGGUGUGGA